UUUAACUUGCCUCAUCCUGUAUCCUCAAUCUGCAUAAAAUUCAACAAUGUUUCUUCAAAAUCUUGCUUCAAACUUGGUCAAAUUAUUAUUAUACCUACCUAAGUAAGUAUACAUAAAUCAUAUGAUAUACGUAGAUAGGCAUAGAUGUGGCUAGUGUUUAGAAUCUGAAUAACGCGAUGCAGCAGGGAGUUCCAUCAAAUCGUCACCCACACAGGCGUACUACGAGAGGCGUGCAAAUGCGUGUAACUAGUACAGAGAUACACAGAAAUACCACUCCGAACAACACCUGGAAGAACAUGGUACCUAAUCCAACAUAAAAGUGACCCAUGACUUAAGUGGUGUAAAACCUUCUUUUCUUCUUGCUUUGUAACACCAAAUUUCUUGGCCGACCUUGUCCGAGGCUGACGAUAGCUGAGAUUGGAAGAAACGGCCAAAGGAUCAAAUUAAAGUAGGAAUUCUUUUAAAAACUUCUUCAACAGUAUAAGCACUUAAGAGCCACAGCUUAAGAGCAAACGCACCGGACUACAGCGAUUGUACUUCUGCGAUGUUACUUACCUGUGUUGUGCACCGAUGCGUGCCCCUGCCAAGAUCUAUUUGUGCAUGCGUGUGCGCACGACUCCCCCCCCCCCUCUGCCUCCGCUGCGGCUGCGUGCGAUCACCUCAUCGAUUAGCAGCUCUCAAUGUGUGAAACAUCUCAGGUGAAAUUAUGAUGCGCCUGUCAUAAAGAUGAUAAUUUUAUGAUAAAAUGAAACGUGUGCUUAAUUUUGCGUUAAAUUUUUGUUCUACGGAUGGUGUAGUUGUUUUUUUAUUGCGGUAAAAGUAUGCUUCGUUUACAUUGUAAGUGGUCCUGUAGUUGGGGAGCAAGUUUUAAAUACGAAGUUACCCACAAAGAAGCUAUUUUUUUUGGAUUGGUGUAAUUAUACGAGGUCAUGUGGUAGAGGUUACUAACUGUAAUACUGUUUUGGGAAACAUAAAUUACUAAAAUGGUGGUGGUGACUAGAGCGUUUAAUGUGAAAUUCGUGCCAUUGGUCGGCGAAACGCUAACAGCGAGUUUGGCUUACCUUUAUUUUUGUUGAAAUAUCUAACUUCGCCAAUCGCAUGGAAAAUGUUCGAAUCGUGGAAGGGGCAACAUUUCAGUAAGCCACGUAUUGCCCUUUUACAAGUAAAUUCUAGAGCUCUAUCAUCUUGUAAUUAAGGCCCGUGGCAAAAUCGACUUUUUGGACCUCCUGAACAUCCAUCUAGUUUAAAUCCAUCUAGUUUAAAAAGUUUAAAUUCUAUAUUUUCAUCAAAUGAAAGAGAAAAUCGCUAAUUCCUUCAAACCCGCUGUCAGUGUGACCGCCGCCCCUCCGCCAGUUUCUACCUAAUGGGGCAGUGUAAUGUAGAUGAAUUGUCUCAAUUGAGCAGAUAGCAGUAGAUUGGCUAAUUGUGGCGGUUAUUUUUAGUGUCCCCAAGUGUAAUACAAUUAGAUCACUUACACGUGCUUUCUAGUAGUCUGGUUACAGUAGCCGCAGGACAUGGCGACGUGUACGUAGAUUUGUCCUAAUGAUCGUUUUCCGGACUGGCACUACUCCAGGUCAUAACAACACUACCCAAAAUGAAACUGUGGAAUCGAGACAAUGAAAUGAAACCAUUUAAAUCUGUAAGUUGGAUAAUUGUGUCAUCACUUUUACAUGUCUUUUUUCAGGACGCUGGAGUCGAUAUUUUCCUAUCUGGCUACCCUGAGAACAAAUGUCGAACAGUCUAAACGAUUUAAAAUUAGAGAACAGAUUAAUUCUUGGGACUGGCCUUUUGAAAAAGUACCAGAUCAAUCUGACCAAGUCUGUGCCGGCAAGCAGCACGCAUGCAUAGACUAACUUAUGGGGCUCAAACAUUUUUGAGGGAGUCCUAUAGCCCUACACGCAACAUAACCACUAGUGACCUUAUCAAAAGGGAAGAAAGAACUACUCACAGACAACUACGACAAGGGCAACGCUAUAUACGAUUUAGAGCGUUGUCUCUCUCCCACAAUCUGUACGCAAUGGCAGAGAGGUUAUACGUAUAAAACAAAAUGUAUAUAAUUUAUUUUGUCGCAUAAACUUUGUACCAAUUCUAAUAAAGCAAAAUUGUAUCAGCUGGAUGGUGACUGUUUAUAUCUAUAAUUGAUAGUAAAACUGGUAAAAACUAGUUACGAUUAAUAACAAUAUCCGUAAUGGUCGCAAUCACUCCGUCGAUCAGUCAUUUUUAUCAUCAUCUUUUCUAAUGUGUAAGAUAUACAUACAUGUACGUGUUACUUAGUGAGAUAGAGUGUUCCUGCAACUAGUUGUCAUUUAACAUUGAUUGCUUUUAAUAUCAUUGAUUACAAUGUAAUUAAUGCGAAGUGGAGAUUAAUGAAAUGCAGGUUUUGAUGCUAGGCCCCUAGCUGUAAACGAAAAAAAUCUCUUUUCAAAUACUGUAGCUCUACAAAGAUGACUUUAAAUAAUGUUAACACUUAAUUUUAAAAUUCUGGGAAAAGGACAUUAAAAUAAACACACAACAUUUUGAAAUAAGUUAAAGUGACUUAAACCAAUUAUAGUCUUCAAUUUCACUCGCUACGUUAAAAAUAACGGGCAUUUCCAUAGAAAUUAGUCCAAAAGCCAGUCAAAAAGUGUUCACAUCAUCCCACUUAUAGUAUAAAGUUACUAACUCCACACAACACAUAAUCUAACUAAUUCAAUUUGAUGGCCACGCACACACAUACACACACACACAUACGGACCUAAAAAUAACACCGAUCAUGAAGGGCCAUUUACGGUACUUACAAACUUAGUGCUACACUCCAAAAACGCAAUAACAGGCCUUAUGAAGAAAGUGAUAGAGUUCAGAAUGAGAAUGUUUAGUUGUGUUUGUAAGUUGGUGUAUAUGAACGAUUUUAUUACGGACGGUUAAUUUAUUUGUUUGUGCGUUCUCUGUGACAAAGACGCUAUAGUUGACUAUAGUUAGCAUAAUAAAUGACUGUAAUGUAAUGCCUGAUAGAUUUAAGGUUUUGUAGCUUUGAUUGUAAAAUUGAAACGUCUUUUGAAAAGACUUGUUUAUUGUGGCGGGUUUAGGAUGUGAAGGUAAAAAGACAAACAUAUUUUUAAAGCACUCUUUGUGACUACGCCCGUGUAUAUUUGGAUUUUGAAACCACACAAAAUCUAAACUGUUUUGGAAUCAUAAUGACUAGCUAAGGUAGUUGUAUUUAGCGUUACGUUAUAAGCCGAAAAAAAAUUAAUUUUAUUAUAUUUGCUAUAUGACAAGAAACUUAUAAAGAAGUAAUGGGCACGUGGUAUAUAGCUAGUGGGGUUUCGUGUAAAUAUCUAGCGUUUGACAAAGUACUUUAUUUUAUUCUGUCAUUUGUGUAUAAACCUCUUUUAAUUAGCACUAACUACCGAACCACUGACGACACUUCAUCUCUGUCGUGACUCUAUGACUCGUUGCCUCUGUCAAUAAUUAAAAGACCUACAACAAAUAUAAUUAUUAAUUAAAACUGUUGUUUUCCCUCUUGUUAGACAGCGCAAUAUUCAUGAAUCACGAAUUCGCGUGUAUUUUAUGUAUCAACACGCCCUAGUAUGAGGAAUUUUAUGUUUAUUUAUGGGCAUAAACAAAAUUUUACUGUGAAAAUCCCUGGUCGACAGCGACGGUUAAAUAUUAGCCGGGACUCGUCAGGAAGUCAGCCAGUUACCUUCACUCAAUAACUAAUGGAAGUUUUACUAACUACACUAUUUAAUUAAACCUCUAUGGUAAGUAGUAAUGCUACCGUAUCACUCGUGUAUAUAUCGCGGUUAAAAUUCCGUGUAGUUAUUUUGCAUGUUUAAAAUUACAAGGGAAAAAACCCUUACUGAAGAAUUUUUUCAUUUGGUUUAGUGAGUCAAUGUGAAUCUUAUUAGACAAUGCGUUUUGUCACCCAUAUUUAAUUGUCACCGAGUUCGACUCGCGCUUGACCGGUUUUGAGUUCAGCUGUGUCUCUUAAAGAAACUACUAGACAAAGGCUACAGAUGUCUCGCAUAUUAUUAGACGCGAGACUAAAAAGUAGUUUGUGUGUUUGCGAUAAAAGUCGCGUGUAAUAAAAAAAGUCCGUUACACAUGUGAAUGGGUAUUAUCAACCCGCGGGUCAUAGUGAGGGGUGACUUGUUAUCUAGCAUUCCGAAUUGUUACAUACCGGCCAUCCUGACGUCAGCUCUCGUUAUAUUACUGUAAUCAGGAGUGUCCAGACAAUUUGGUUCCCACCUAAUCUAAUUGUGACACUUAUUGUGUGUCUUCAUUGCGUUAUUAUCAGAAUUCAAUAGGUACCUUAGAUAUGUUUCCUUAUUUGAACCUCAGGAACGACUGGUCUGAUUUGAAAAAAAACUUUCUGUGUUAGAUAGUCCAGUUAUUGAGAAAGGCGAGGGAGGAUAUUAUUAUCACGUUGUGAUUAACAGGAGCAGAGGAGUACUGAACUGUGUUGCAAAAACGGGGAGAUGUUACAUUCUAAAACUAUUAAUCUAAAUGUUGUAACGUGCAACAGCAAGUUGUCAAUGAAUCUAAUAUUUAAUUAUUGAUCUGUGGGGCUAUAUGUGGGAGGAGGGGGUGUUGGUAUUCAUGAAUGAAAAAAAUGAAUAAAAAAUAUUGUUAGUACUUGUUUAUGUCUGAUAUAAUUAGUAACUACCCACGAUAUUUAUAUUUGAAAUGAUUUGAUUGACUUGACAUUUUGUACAAAACCGUGACGUCACGAAUCAAAUAUAAGCCUAAUAUCAUUUAUUUUAUCACCAACUAUCAAAAUACAUUUAGACCUAUUCUGAUAUUAAUGCCUAUUCUAUUCUAAUGGGCUUUCUUUACUAAAAUAAUACUUUAACCACACUGAGGCAAGCAGUUUCUAUGAUCGGGCCGAUUACGUCACCGCAAACCACAAUCGAUAAACUGCCUCACGUAAAAACUAACCGUAACCAAUGCCUGGUACUUAUAGAUAACUAUCUCUUAAGGCUGCCUUUACACUACGACACUUAUUGUAGACUAUUGUGAGGUACUAGUUUGUUAGGCUUAAUUGGUGACUUUACUAACUGACUUUUUGUGUCUCGAAAGUUCCUUUUUUAUUAAGUCCAGAUAUUUCGUGUAAACGGUGCUCAUGGUAUAUUCAACCGGAAAAAAAAACUCUAUCACUGAGGCACCGGUGAGUGUGAGUCUGUCUGUCACCAGGCUGUAUCUCUUGAACCGUGAUAGAUAGACAGUUGAAAUUAUCACAAAUUUCAACUGUCGCUAUUGCCGCUUGAAGAUUAAAUACUAAAAAUAAAGAUCGAAGUUAAGCAACGUUUUUUACGGUCAAUAUAUGGUUAUUAGGUGACAAAGAAAUUUAUUUGUACCCUCAAAUUUCUUAUCACCAAAUCGUUUUGUAUAACCCUCGCUUUGGACAAGUUUUAUUUGAAGUAGAUAUUUAAACAUUGUUGUUGCAAGAAGUGCCAUAGUGUGUAUGUAGCUUUAGUGCCCGUUACUAUGAUAUAAGUUACCCCUUCGGCAGAUGGGCCCUGUGAUAAUAAAUAUAAUAAUAUAUCGGUGAUAAUAGGCUGAAGGCUCGUCUUAUCGACUCCGGUUAAAAGGGAAAGGGUAUUUUAAUGCUGACCUGGCAAUAUUAUUACUAUUAUAUUUUAGUUUCAUAUGUUAAAACUCCUAGCAGAUAUAAUCCGGUCGGUGCCCUUAUUUGUACUUAAAAUUUUGAAUGCCAUGUCUUCUUUUAAUCUAAUUAAGAAAAGAGUCGCUCCCACCUACAUAUUUGAGGGCUAAUUAAUUAUUCCAUUACAAUCACACUCAUAAAUAGAUACUGAUUAAAAAAUGCUAUAACAUACAAACAUACUUAUGAAUAGAGAUAAACGAAUAAAAGUAGCCUUUGAAAAACACUCGGCAGUCCACAGUGAAUCAUCAAAACCCUUUGAUUUCUAUUCAAUACAAUCAAUGAAAGAAAAUUGCUCCGGAAAAAUCCGGAAUAUAAUAUUAUUUUUAUGAAGGUAUCGACAUAAAUAGCCCGGCCUUAGCAACACUUGAAUCAAUAUUAGUUUAGUUGAGCAAAUAACCACACCACAAAACAUCUUUAAUUGUCCGCCAAACAAAAAUAUACCCUAACGCAACGAGCCACGGUCGAGAAUCACAAAAACCUCCAGUUUGUUAUGUUGAACAUAUUUUCAAUAUUAUUAUACGAUAAUUUUAUUCUGUGUCUGUAAAAAUAACGGUAUGCCUUGUUUCAGUUGAAAAGUUCAUAGCGUUUAGUUUCGCAAGUCAGUAAGAGAUGGCGUUGGGUUGCGCGUUCGCGAUUCCAGCGCGCCUAGCAACAGCGAAAUAAUCAAUGUUUUCCAAUUCUUUCUAAAUUGAUUUCAGUUUAGUGCUUGUAAUUCUCAUUUAAUAUAGUACCGAAUGAGUUUGAUUCGUAACUUACACAUUCAUUUUAUUCAAUAAUAAUAACUUAUGGAAAUGCUUGAGUAUCGGUUUAAUCUAAAUUGUUUUGCAUUUUAUUUCUGGUAUUGAUUCUACAAUUGAAAAUUAAUCAGCGGUACUUAUCGAGUUUAUUAAAAGUAAUUUCUUGGCUAGUGAUGGGCGGCGGUGGUCGAGUGUUGAUAAUUGUAAUGUCGAUAGUCAUUGGUCGAUGGUAAAUCGGCAUCGUCACGACCGGUGCCACAAUCAUCGGUGGGUUUGCGGUUAGAAAGUUAAAUCACCCUUGUUUUGGUAUCAAAUUAUAUAUUGCACAAAUUGCUGGAUUUCGUUGUGAUUUGACGUAAUUAUGAUUGGUUAUUGUGAAUAGUAGAGCAGCCAUGUUGAUUAACGACGUGUUUAUCGUUAAAUGUUUGUUAGCAACUUCUUAUAUUUAGUCGCGAAUAAACUCUUGGCUACAUCUAGACCUUUUACAAUGGAGAAUUAAACAUAGUUGUAAUAAAAGUUGAUACCGAAUUAUUUCCAAUUAUUAUCUACUUCCAAGUUUAUAACAUGCUACUAAAAGAAUAUAAAUAUAAGCAGCCCGACACCUCUCCAAUAAUAUAUGAUAAUAUACGAAGACAAAUAAAUCUUUUCACAAGUCAUAAAAUACACACGAAAUACAGGAGAUAAUUCUUUAGUCACACAUUCGGAAGUAGUUGGCCAUUUUUUGCGGAUUAAAAGCGAUAAUUUAUGUUGACCAAAACCGUCCAGUUAUGCUAGCCAUGCAUAACAUUAUAGCCUUUAACGACAAACUCGUAGGUGCUACAAUCGCUUGCACUCACUUUCCAAAUCUUGUUGCUACGUCCGCUGGUCCAAUUUCUUUAGAAUCGAUACAAAGACCUCUCCAUGUUAAUUUGUUUACUUCGAACGAUCGAACGGAACGAAUUUAUUUUUAUGUUUUCGCAUUCACAAAAAACUUACACGUUCGCAAAUCAAGAAAAAAAUGAAGCGAACAUAACAGCCAAAUAAAAAUUGAUGAUUGCUUUUAAUUUAGACGAGCAUUGUGAGUUAGACGCAGAUAUAUUGUAGACACAGCCAGCUUGUAUGCAGACGAGUGUUGUUUAUAAAACAGUGAUCUAAGAGUGGAUCGUAUAAAGAUGUGAGUCUACGAUAGAGAACGAUAAUAAAAUGCAAUGCCAAUUUACUGCAAACACAGAGUCAGCGACUCGGCACUCUGGGAUAACAUCCUAUAUUUUAUCCUUACGGGCUCUUGCAUUACUGGAACACAUCAGAGCUAUUUGGCAGCAUCCCCCGACACGAGCCGGCGAUGUAAUUUAUCUCACAUCGCAAUCUGCACAUAUUCCCAGUCAGCAUUUAGAUUCCAGCUCCACUCGUACGAUAAACUCGGCAUGUAGCAAUACCGACUUGUCUAUAAACGGAACAUUCGUAAAAACUGUACCAACUCGUUGUGUGCUCACUAAUUAUACAAAAAAUAAACGAGGAUGGGGUUGCACCAAUCUCUAGCGAGGACCGGUCCCCGAACCGGUUGAGACCGGUUCAGACCGGUCUUACUAAAAUAUUGCCUCGGCUUUCUGCUUGUUUUUACCUAGCAUACAUUUAUGAUAAUGUAUGAAAACGAUGUUCUUCGCUCUUUGUUUUUUAAAUGUCACUCGAUGGAAUAUUAUCUUCUUUAUUGUGGACAUAAGGUGUUCGUUUUGUGGGCGAGCCUGUCGGCUGCGAGCGAGUGUGUGCGUGAUGAUGCAGAGCAUCUUCAUACGUGUGUAGGGGUAGGGAUGCGUAUUGAAACAAUAUAUUUCCAUUUUGAAACUAUGUAUUUUUUUUUCUUCAAUAUUUCUACAUUUUCUUUUACGGUCUAUCAAAUAAAUAUCAAUUAUAAACAAUUGAUACAUUUAUUAUUAUUGUUAGUUUUUGUAUAUGUCGACAUUUCAAGUUUUAGAAGUAAAAUGUUUUUGUAGCUUUUUAAAAUCUUUUUAUUAUCGAUGAAA
Trichoplusia ni (cabbage looper) is the source of this 8378-nucleotide long non-coding RNA. RefSeq lists it as uncharacterized. The record is from RefSeq and is a predicted model, not a curated record. NCBI's taxonomy places the organism in Eukaryota, Metazoa, Arthropoda, Insecta, Lepidoptera, Noctuidae. The transcript is spliced from 2 exons.